ACCCUUGGGGAUUUGGAGCAUGUCCGUACCCCAUCUGGAUCCUUUGUACUCUCCCGGACCCACCACCACGCCCCCCCCGUCCUGGUCCUUGGGCCUCCCUGGCCGCUUCGGACUCUACCUCCCUAUUUCCAGCCGUCUGUCUUUUCUUUGGCUGUCAAAACUAUUUUUCCUUUGGGUGUCUCCUGUUGGAGAACCCCCUGUCAUAUUUAUACCUCCGCAGUUCAUUGUUUUACUUAUAAUUAUGACCUCAGUAGCCAUCCACCUUGCCAUCAGUGUCUGCAGUUCAUCUCUCCUCAUGGUUCAGCAGUAUUCCUUGUGUACGUUUACCACCUUUUCAUCGUCCGUUCGUCUUCGAUGGGCAUAGGGACCACUUCCAUAUUUUACCUAUCUGUAAGGCUUGUGCUAGCCUCAGUGUCUCAGUUUACUUUCUGUUUGCUUGAGCAAAAUCUCUGACACAGAUGAAAGGAGGAAAGGUUUAUUUUGACUGACAGUUUGUUGAUGUUUCGAUCCAUAGUUGGCUGGUUCUAAGGCAAGAUGGCGUGGUUGAAAAGAAAGAGUUCAUGGCUAGGCAGGCAGCUUCACCUCCCAGCAUGAGACCCAGACAGAAACCCAUCCGUGCACUAGCCCCGGUAUGACAGGCCCGAUCCAGUCACUUCCCACACGCACGGCCUCUGAGCAGAGAAGGCUUUGGGGGGACAUCUAGAUGACCUGAAUCCACCUGGAACCAAGAGGAAGUGGCGUGGGAGUCCGUUUCCGCCUGGUACCUGGAGGGCGGAGACAGUGCCACCAAUUACCUGGCACACAGUGUAGAUGAAAGUUAUUUGACCUUUUCCACAUGGCGCAACUUCUCAGCGUUCCCCGAGCCUGCCUGGAGUCCGGGCUUCCCAGGACCUGAGUCCACCUGGAAGCAAGAGGAAGUGGCGUGGGAGUCCGUUUCUGCCUGGUGAGUGUGAGGGUCACGGGCUGUGGAGGCAGAGGUGGCCUGUGAGAUCUCAGGUGCAGGGAAAAGCGGG
RNAcentral lists this long non-coding RNA (1013 nucleotides) under Heterocephalus glaber (naked mole-rat). RNAcentral's name for it is "lncRNA (ENSHGLG00100052501.1)". The record is from RNAcentral. Lineage: Eukaryota; Metazoa; Chordata; Mammalia; Rodentia; Bathyergidae.